UACGUAGGUGGCGAGCGUUGUCCGGAUUUACUGGGCGUAAAGGGAGCGUAGGCGGACUUUUAAGUGAGAUGUGAAAUACCCGGGCUCAACUUGGGUGCUGCAUUUCAAACUGGAAGUCUAGAGUGCAGGAGAGGAGAAUGGAAUUCCUAGUGUAGCGGUGAAAUGCGUAGAGAUUAGGAAGAACACCAGUGGCGAAGGCGGCUUUCUGGACUGUAACUGACGCUGAGGCACGAAAGCGUGGGGAGCAAACAGGAUUAGAUACCCCCGUAGU
RNAcentral lists this ribosomal RNA (271 nucleotides) under uncultured prokaryote. RNAcentral's name for it is "partial 16S ribosomal RNA". It matches the Rfam family "Bacterial small subunit ribosomal RNA", at positions 524 to 794 of the family's 1533-position model. The record is from RNAcentral.